GUAGGGAAUUUUCCGCAAUGGGCGAAAGCCUGACGGAGCAACGCCGCGUGAGGGAUGAAGGUUUUCGGAUCGUAAACCUCUGUCUUCAGGGACGAUAAUGACGGUACCUGAGGAGGAAGCCACGGCUAACUACGUGCCAGCAGCCGCGGUAAUACGUAGGUGGCAAGCGUUGUCCGGAAUUACUGGGCGUAAAGGGCGUGUAGGCGGCAAUUUAAGUCAGACGUGAAAGCCCCAGGCUUAACCUGGGAACUGCGUUUGAAACUGGAUAGCUUGAGGACCGGAGAGGGUAGUGGAAUUCCCAGUGUAGCGGUGAAAUGCGUAGAUAUUGGGAGGAACACCAGUGGCGAAGGCGACUACCUGGACGGCACCUGACGCUGAGGCGCGAAAGCUAGGGGAGCAAACGGGAUUAGAAACCCCAGUAGUCC
Molecule: ribosomal RNA, 425 nt
Filed under: uncultured bacterium
Lineage: Bacteria
Description: bacterial SSU rRNA
Rfam family: Bacterial small subunit ribosomal RNA
Source: RNAcentral